AUGAUUGAGCCAUCAAGGGUGAGCGUAGAAGGAAAUGUUAAGAGUUGUAGAGUUCAUGAUAUCAUGCGUGAUGUCAUGGUGUCAAUUUCAAGAGAUGAAAAUUUUGUGUACUUGGCUGGAGAAAAUGUAACCAGUGUAGCAGAGAACUUCCGGCAUGUAGCAUUCCAUUGUAGAAGCAACAAUGAUUUAGGCAUGGACUGGUGCCAUGUUCGGUCAUUAACAAUGUUUAGUGAGAGACCCAAAGAGCUACCACCUUCACUUUGUUCACCCAACUUGAGAAUGCUUAGAGCUUUGGAUCUAGAAGGUGCACAAUUUAGAGUAACAGAGAAAGAUAUCAGCAACAUAGGAGUAUUGCGCCACUUGAAAUACAUGAAUCUUUCGUAUCCCAAAGGGUAUUCAAAUAUUUAUAAACUUCCAAGGUGUAUAGGAAAACUACAAGGCUUGCAGAUUUUGGACAUACGAGACACUUAUAUUUCAACCCUCCCAGUUCAAGUCAGUAAACUCCGGAGUCUCCGUAGCCUUCGUUGUUGCAAAAAUACAGUGCAUUCCAACUUCGGCCCACAUAGCCCUAGUGAACAGCUGGCAAAGAUCAGGCCGCCGCCCGUGCCCAUGAUAGUUACACCUGUAUAUGGUCCGGCCCAGGGUAACAGGGUCAAUGUGGUCUCUGGUGUACAAAUGGCCUACUCUAGCCGUUGGUUUGAGUCAGCGGGUGUGAGUUUGCCAAGAGGUAUUGGUAACUUAAAAGAGUUACUUAUACUGGAGGUUGUUGACAUCACACGAACUAGUGGAAAAGCAGUGAAAGAGAUGGGGGAGCUUACGCAGCUAAGAAAACUAAGUGUGGUAACACAAGGUGCCACCGAGGAAAAAUGUAAGCUCCUUUGUGUAGCUAUUCAGAAGCUCUCUUCACUGCGCUCUCUUCGCAUGGAAGCUAAUGGACGGGGUAAUGGCCAUGGAACACUUGAGUGGCUGCAUUCUCUUGUGUCUCCUCCACCCCUCCUGAAGACCCUGAACUUGGUUGGAAGUCUUGGAGAAGAGAUGCCCGCUUGGGUGGGAAGUCUGAUGCAUUUGGUGAAGGUUUACUUUGAGUACAACCGGCUGAAGGAAGAAAGUAAAACCUUGGAAAUACUAGGGACACUGCCGAAUCUCAUUCUCUUUCGUCUUGGGUGGGAUUCUUAUGUUGGAGACAAGCUAGUCUUUAAAGCGGAAGCAUUUCCAAGCCUGAUGACACUUGAUAUAUGGGGCCUCAAUCAACCAAGACAGUUGGCUUUUGAGAAGGGCUCCUCCCCUAAGCUGGAAACGGUACAAAUAUCUGGAGUCUUGCUGAGAUUGGGGAUUAUUGGUAUCAAGCACCUUCCAAGUCUCAAGGAGAUUACCCUUGGAGACUUUGCUCACGUGGCGAAUCUUGCCGUGCUGCGAAAUGAAGUGGACAUACACCCGAACCGUCCCAUGCUGCGACUGGCAGAGGGGCGGACCAGCCAUGACCUUGGAAGGAUCCCCAAAGGCUCCAAUGUACAAGUGAUAGAAGAAAAUGAAGAAUUAGAACCACCCCAAAUCCAUGAGCCUGCAGAAACAGGAGAGACCUCCUCGCAGACAUCGACGAGUGGGACCAACAGUGAAGACGAUGAACUUGAGGAUGUCCAAGGAUCUAAUGUUGUAAAAGUCGACGAAACAGAGGAGGAAUCAGCCCUCGCUCCUGAGACUGGGACGGCAGGAGAGAGCUCACAACCAGAGGUGGUGCUGGCCAUGCCGACAUCAAAAGACAGUGAAGGAGAAGGAUCUAAUGUUGUACAAGUAGAAGAAACAGAGGAGGAGCCAGUCCUCCUUCCUGAGAUUGGUACGGCGGGAGAGAGCUCACAAUCAGAGGUGGUGGAGGUCAUGUCGACAAUGGAAGUCAGCGAGAUCAAUGGCCAAGUGCAUGUCGAAUUUGAAGGCUUCUCUGUGGUGGAAGACGACGAAGAUGAUUUCUGCUCUUGCAUUUCUGAUGACCUGCAAGAUAAUCUUUCUUAG
Molecule: ribosomal RNA, 2007 nt
Filed under: Triticum aestivum (bread wheat)
Lineage: Eukaryota; Viridiplantae; Streptophyta; Magnoliopsida; Poales; Poaceae
Description: partial small subunit ribosomal RNA
Source: RNAcentral